UAGAUGUUGGCGAUAUAUUGUCAGUGUUUUAGAGAAAUCGUUAAGUGAUCCACCUGGGGAGUACGUUCGCAAGAAUGAAACUCAAAGGAAUUGACGGGGGCCCGCACAAGCGGAGGAGCAUGUGGUUUAAUUCGAUGAUACGCGAGGAACCUUACCAAGACUUAAAUGUAUUUUGGCAGGUUGAGAAAUCAACUUUUCUUCGGACAAUUUACAAGGUGCUGCAUGGUUGUCGUCAGCUCGUGCCGUGAGGUGUCGGGUUAAGUCCCAUAACGAGCGCAACCCCUAUUUUUAGUUACCAGCGGGUCAUGUCGGGAACUCUAGAAAGACUGCCUGUGUAAACAGUGAGGAAGGUGGGGAUGACGUCAAAUCAUCACGGCCCUUAUGUCUUGGGCUACACACGUGCUACAAUGGUCACUACAGUGGGCUGCCAUCUGGCAACAGAGAGCAAAUCCAUAAAGGUGAUCCCAGUUCGGAUCGGAGUCUGCAACUCGACUCUGUGAAGUUGGAUUCGCUAGUAAUCGUAUAUCAGCAAUGAUACGGUGAAUACGUUCCCGGGCCUUGUACACACCGCCCGUCAAGCCAUGGAAGUUUGUGGUGCCUGAAGUCAGUAACCGUAAGGAUCUGCCUAGGGUAAAACAGAUAACUAGGGCU
RNAcentral lists this ribosomal RNA (651 nucleotides) under uncultured marine bacterium. RNAcentral describes it as "bacterial SSU rRNA". It matches the Rfam family "Bacterial small subunit ribosomal RNA", at positions 817 to 1482 of the family's 1533-position model. The record is from RNAcentral.